Molecule: long non-coding RNA, 1655 nt
Organism: Salvator merianae (Argentine black and white tegu)
Lineage: Eukaryota; Metazoa; Chordata; Lepidosauria; Squamata; Teiidae
Source: Ensembl
GUCCACUAGAUCAGAGAGCACGGCACAGGAGAAUGAUGCGCUCCAAUGACAUUUUUCUAGAUGGUUUCGCAAUUGUGUCUGAUGAUGCCUGCAAUUCUGGGAACUAUACCACCAAGAUGAGUCUGCUGCCAGUCGCUGAAGAGAAGCCUCUGCGCCCUCCAGGCUCUUUUCUGGCUGAGAUUAUGCUGAGAGAGAGCCGACAGCAUUUGGCUCUGAGCAUCAAGUCGUGCUGCGUUUCUCCCACUGCCAGGCCUGCAGGAUUGGAUGUUGCCUGCUGCCUUUUCCCCAGACCAUCGGUGGAGUGCAGACAUAUUCAGAUACAUCGGAAUGGCAGAUCUCAGGCUGUCAACUUCACCAUCCAGCUCUUUCAGAUGUUGAAUCACUCUGUGGCAUAUCUGCACUGUGAACUCAGCAUCUGCUUGCACAACCGUGCUGAAUGCAAACAGAGCUGCUUAGAAAACUCAGCCUCCCUUACUAAGCCAAGUGACCACAGCAGUUAUGAAACACUCCACAAUGUGGCCUCUUGGGGACCCGUAUUGAAGGCCCAGGUAGAACCUCCACUUGGACCAGUUGUAGGAUCUGAAGUGGUUUUGAUCUUUCCAGUUCUCUUCUGCGCCUUGACAGGUAUUGUGGUCCUAAUGGGCGUCGUCAUAUUUCUCUGGUUGCAUCAGAGGCGUCCAACUAAAAUGACAAUGGAACAGAAGAACCAAGAAAGCAGAGAACCUUGAAGCUGCUAUAAGCAGCUGAUUGUGGGUACUAAGGCUGCUUAUGCUGCUGUUGCUGCCGCUGCUGCUGCUACCCAUGUGAUGUGGGAACAUCUCCUUGCCUGCUGGGUUGCUUUUUGUAGCAGAAGACCGCUGCUUCCCUGUUUUCCUUUCCUCUUUCACGAGAGAGACAAAGACCCACAGAAGUUGCAGUGGAGCACUCCAAAGAUCCAGAAGCAUGAGAGUGAAUGAGAGAAAGCCAUGGAUUGAAAGAGGUUGGAUGUGAACUGGACAUCCAUGAGUUGCCUGACCACUUGUGGACUGAAAGCACAGAAGACAAAGCUACGAGUACAGAGCUGGAAUUUCCUAAGAGGACAAGCAAUUGUUGUUAAUGAUUAUUACUGCAGUGGUGGUAUGGAAGUGGCUAAGGUGACAGUAAUGAGGUAUUGUUCUUCUAAAAGGUGAUAUUCUGUGCUACUAUAUCCUGGGAUUUAGGUGUCCUUAUACUGUGUUAGCAAUUUUUGCUCAGUAUAACUGUUGGUUUAUGGUCAACUGAGAACCCAUUACACACCUUGCCUUCUAACAAAUCUGGAAUGAAUCUGCUCCUGCCAAGAACAAGUGCAGUGGACUAAAUAAUGGGGAAAGUGAAAGAACAAAUGAUUUUACGAUCCGUAAAUGUGGGAAUCAACACAACCUCUGUCCAGGAUUGUUCUUUAGAGAAGGUAGCAUUAAUCUACCUUUUCUAGGCUGGAAUGCUCAUGAGAGUGAGGAGCAGCAGAUAAACAUGUGAAAGAUCCUACCAUCAAACUGGCUGUAAGGAUGCAAUCAGACAGGACUUUUGGGGGAGGGGUGUGACAAUUUACAAAGAAUCACCCCAUCUGUGGAUGCAGAAAAAGAAUCUGUCACACAAUUUUAAAAAUAAGUGGCUAAAAAUCUCAUCACUUCUUUUUC